UCCAAUCAGGUGUAAUCUGCUUUAACUUAACUUCCAACUCCGCGUAGCUGAAAGGGCUAGCGGGAGCGGCAUUGUCAGCAGAUUCCUCCUCAGGUGAGGAAGGAGAGGGUAACUCUUGUCCCGGAAUCGGAACCCCCAUAUCUUCGUCCGGACACAUAGGUCCGGAUGCAUCCCCAGCCGGAAUUAUUGCCGGAGCGGCUGAGGUCUCAGUAGCCAUCUCCACCUCGCCUCCAUCCGGAUGAGCGUCAUGGGCAGAAGCGCAGCUAAUUUCAAUCUCUUGCUGCAGCUCUUGAAGCCGCUCAAAGAGUCCGGACUGUAGAUCGC
RNAcentral lists this long non-coding RNA (324 nucleotides) under Vitis vinifera (wine grape). RNAcentral describes it as "long non-coding RNA (VVIN_LNC001885)". The record is from RNAcentral. Lineage: Eukaryota; Viridiplantae; Streptophyta; Magnoliopsida; Vitales; Vitaceae.